GCGGAUGUUAGUCGUGUAGGAGCAGCAAAUGGCGACCCAAACACAGGGAAGGAUUAGGUAGCCUUGCUAAAGCAACUGCGUUUUCCGUUGUUGUGUGGGAAAACUCGCACGUAAGAAGUUAACGAUGGGGAGGUCUAGGUCAAGAAGCAGGACACCAAAGCGACACAAGAGUAAAAGGUCCCAUAAGAGGCGGUCACGGUCCAGAGAAAGAGAGCGACGUAGGCACCGUGAGCGGGAGAGGUCCAAGGAACGAGCCAAGACCAGUCGCAAGUUAUCCCGAUCAUCAUCAUCAUCCUCAACUAGUGAUGAAGAACCAAGAACUAGAGAGAAAAAGAUUGAUGAAGUUGACAGAUUGGCAGAACUUGAGAGAGUUAGGAGACAAAGGGAAGCAGAACAAAAGAUGGUGGAAGAAGUAGCAGCUAAAAGACUUGAAGAAUUAGUGGCACGUAGAGUGGAAGAGGAGUUAGAGAAAAGACGAGAAGAGAUAGAGGCUGAGGUGUUACGGAGAGUGGAGGAGGCUAAGCGCCUCAUGGAGCAGCAGAUGUUAGAAGAACUUCAGGAAAAGCGUCGCCAACAAGAAGAGGAUCAAAAGAAGCGAGAGGUAAAGCUUUCUUCCCCAUAUGUCACUGGGGAUCUUUUGUGGCUAUAUUCAGCCAUGUCUGCAGUUAUAGUGUUCAUUUCAAGGGUGGGAGAGAGGAGAUGGUGGUGAUGAUGGUGUUUCUGCUGCAGCAAGGAGCACCUGCAAGCCACUUUAGUGAAAAUAUGUGGUCUUACUACCAGACAGAAUCUCAGGAUUUAGAAUUUGUUCCAGAUGAUAAUUGCAGGGUUUUAUCCGCAAAGAAAUGGAGCAUUGUUCCAUCUUCAUGUUAAUAUACUAUUUGUAAUGGAAUGUAGUUCCCAUAACUUGGGAAAUUCGUGUUUUUACACCAGUGAGAGUCACUGGUUAAACAUUUGCUUAAGCAUUCAGUAUGAUUGAAAGUUAUGAAUAUGUAUUUCAAGUUGAGUAGAUUGAUAUAAAUAUUUUAGAGACAUAUUUUGUAAGGUUACUGCUUAAAGCUCUUGAGUGAUUAAUUUAUAGGCAAAAAUAAAUAAUAAAUAUCCAUUUUGCAUGAAAACUAACUCAUACUCUUUCAGCUGAAUUUUCUGUUUUGAAAAGAAAAUGUAUGUUUGGGCCAAUUUAUGAUUCCAGAGAAUGUACAAAUGUCCUAAUCUCUGGCACAUGAUACAGCUUGACAUUUUUUUAGUCCACAUGGUAACAAAGUUGAAUGUCUGGCUGAAUGCAAAUACCUCCUCCUUUUUGUUCUUUGAAUGCUCUAUUAUUUUUCAGCAGAAUCUCUUCUAUCAGUUUCCAGUCUUAUAAUUCUUAUUGUCUGUGUGUUUGUGUUUUUGUGUGAAAGUAUAUGUGUGUGUCUGGAGAGAGAAUGUGUUAAUGAGUGGUUUGUUUUGUCUCUGGAAACAAACAUGGCAUUGGCUUUGAGACACUUUAGUGGACAACCACUUUAAACAGACUAGACAUAAUAAUGGCGACUUGCAACCAAGAAUUGUGCGCUGCGGAUUUUAGGGCAGAGCAGUUCUAGGAGUGGAUUUGGCAUCAUCCAUAUGGAGGAGGAACGUAAACAGCGAGAGGAGUUGGAGCGCAUCAUGGAAGAGAACAAACGAAAAAUGGAACUUGCACAGAUGAAGCUGGCAGAACAGCAGCUGCAGAUGGUUGAGGAACAACGCAAGAUUGAUGAGGAGCGGCAGAAAAUCAAGAGAGCA
This 1758-nucleotide unclassified non-coding RNA is filed under the name Portunus trituberculatus (swimming crab). Its description in RNAcentral is "arginine and glutamate-rich protein 1-like, transcript variant X2". The record is from RNAcentral. Lineage: Eukaryota; Metazoa; Arthropoda; Malacostraca; Decapoda; Portunidae.